UUGUGUAGUACAUGGUAAGUAUCCUUUUUUCCAAGUGUUGCAGAAGACAAAAGCUUCCCCACUCUCUAUUGUCCUGCAUAAUUUGGCAAUGUGUGAUCCACAUUUUUCAGAUUGUGAAAGCUUCGAGUCCCACCAUUAUCAAACUUUCUCUAGUGGCCUUUUCUUGGUUAUAAUGAAAUUGAAUUGACUGAACAAUCUUUAUCCAUUGAACAACUAGCUAUUCGUCUGCUGUCAUCUACUAGCUAAUAACUCUAUCGUUAGAAGAUUUUUACAAAUUAUUUCCUCAAUAACCUUUUCUUGCAUUGUGUGUGCUCAGAAGAGACGCGAGGGUUUUGUUGGGGGGGGCUUGCUUUCUCUAGUGUUUAUAACCAAUGCUACUUGUUGUAGUAGGAAUUGUAGUUGAUGGGAUAGUUCUCAGUUGAGCUUUUCAGCAUUGUGUUGUGGGUUUUAAAUUUUAAUCCCGGAAGGCACUUAUCUGUCAAUAUAAUAUAUAACUUUCUAUGUUUUUUCUCUAGCUUCCAUAGUUCACUAAAAAAAAACCAAACUGUUUGUAACUUUGGGAACUCGUAUUGUGUUGAAUUUGAAGUCUGGUUUGCUUGUGUGUUCCAUCAAGUUAAUCUACUCUGUGAACCCGCACAUGGCAUGGGGCACCAAGAACACCAAACUUCACUGUUCUCCUAGAUUGAUAAGUCUUUAUAAACUGUUGUUCAAACUUUGAAGCAAGGUGUUUCUAUAUUUGUAACGGGCAUGCAACGUCAAUACUUUUGUUUGAACAAUUAAUGUACUUAAAUUGUCAUAAAAAUUUGCUGCUCCUUGAUGAACCGAACACUCUUUACUGGCACAGUCAAAAAUACAUGAUGUGAAAAAGUUAAACCUGAAGAUAUAGCUACUGAUACAGAAUAUAGAAAGCAAUAAUAGUGAAAGUAUAUCACUGUAUAUGCACGAAUAUAUGUAUGCAUAUGAUGAAUGCAAUGUGAAAAGACAAUUAUUAAGGAUUUCUCAUAAUGUCUUCAUUGAUUAUUUGCUCCACAGGUGGUGGUCCGACGUACACCUGCUGGCUGCUGCCCCCUUUAGUUUGUUGCAGAUAAUUGACUUCCCGCUCCUGAAAUCCAAAUACAUCAUUAUGGGAAAAUUGAAGGUUAUAAGCUCGAUCCAAGGACAUCGUAUAUCUUUGAUCUUUCGGAGAACAGAGAUCAAGAUCGAAACUUCUGCCUGCAAGCCUGACAAGUGACUUCCAUGCAGGUUGGAUCAAUCCGACGUGUAGCCCUCUCUUUCAAUUUCUCAGCUUUGUCGACCUCCUCUCGAGCUCUCUCCCACAUUUGUCGAGCACGUGAGAAUUCUGACUGCGCUAGCUCCAUUUCUCUCCUAGUUAGUUCCCUCACACGCUCUGCAUAUGCCUUCUCCAAUGCAGCCAACCGAAUCUGCUCCGACGCUUGCCAUUUUAGUGUCUCUGCAUAUUCAUCCGGAUUCUCGUGAUCCAGAACUGGCCGGAACACCAUACAGUUAUUACUUUCCUGAGGCUUAAAAGGCCUGAGACUAAUGGACAAUUGAAGAUCCAAUGAUGGUCCCUCAAAUAGAUUGUUCAUAAGAUGAUGUUCUUUUGAUGACCUGACUUUCGUCGACGGAGAUGACUCGAGCGGCCUGCGUGAAGGAGGAGUUAUGGUACGUUGAGCAGGGAGAAGUUGCAGUUCCUGAUGAUCUUCUUCCAUUGAAAUCAACAAGAUGUAAAGGUGGUGAUGGGAAGGUUUUCUUCAGUGAUGGAAAUGAGUGUGCCUAUAUAUAACAAGCCAAACACUACCUUAAUUCCAAAACUGCCCACCCUUCCCAUGCAAAAUGGCUAAACUAACAUUAUUAGGUUGCUAUGACAUUAUUACCCUUGUUAUGUGCUGCGGUUCGUAUCAGGCGGAUUUAGCAAGAGACACGAGUUCUGCUUAAAAAUAAUUUUGAUAUUUUUUCAUCAUUAUAAAUUUUAAAAAUUAUAGA
Daucus carota subsp. sativus is the source of this 1983-nucleotide long non-coding RNA. RefSeq lists it as uncharacterized. The transcript is spliced from 2 exons. Lineage: Eukaryota; Viridiplantae; Streptophyta; Magnoliopsida; Apiales; Apiaceae. The record is from RefSeq and is a predicted model, not a curated record.